Long non-coding RNA from Myotis lucifugus (little brown bat), 1599 nucleotides. RefSeq lists it as uncharacterized. The record is from RefSeq and is a predicted model, not a curated record. NCBI's taxonomy places the organism in Eukaryota, Metazoa, Chordata, Mammalia, Chiroptera, Vespertilionidae. The transcript has 3 exons.
GGGAGCAUGGGAACCCUGAAAGGAUGGCACGGCCUCCCCCCCAUGAACUUGGUGCUGUCGGAGCGUGGAGUAUUUUUCCAACUCUCAGCCCCAUUCCCACGGCCGAACUGAGAACGUGAACAAAGAGGCGAGCGUCCCCUUUGGCACCAAUCGUAAGCCAGUGUUCACUGCAGCCUCACCUGGAGAUGCAAUUUGAUAGAAGAAUGAGAAGAAGAAAAGAAACAGAGCCGGGGAACGCCUGGUGGGCCGGCCUUGUCGCCAGCCAUUGGUCACUCAGCCUCAUGCCGCACAGGGGUGGCCUCUGCCCCUUGGUGCCCAGGGACCCCCUCCUGGGGGAUGGGAACUGGUUGGGCCUGCAGGCAGGUGACAGGGAUGCUUCCUGUGAGGUGGGAGGAAGUGAACACGAAGGGGCGGGGCCUGACACCCGCGUGACACUCACGUGUGGGCAGAUUGGCUUCGGGAAAGAGCAGGACGCUGAGGACCUGGAAGCCGGGUCCCUCGGGAAAGUCACACGGCGCUCUCGACCCCCAGGCGAACCCCGGCCCGUCCGUAACCCCGUGUCUCCACGGAGCCGCCACGCAGUUCACCACCCGCAGCGAGCACUGCACGGGGAUCAGAGCUCAGGCGACCGACUCCCAGGCCCACUCCCCCACCACGCUGUGCGCUGAACACAAGGGUCACCCGUGGGGACGUGCACAGGACCCAUGUGGUCUCAGAACUUGCCUGGCGUGUGGGCGACCCCACUGCUGAGCUCACGGUGUGGGAAGACGGAUGCACCCGCAUCCACGGAGAAGGCCCACGUGCAUUCUCCCCUUGCCGCACCCCCCCCACCUCCACCCCGAGAAAUCCCUUCGGCUGCCCCAGAAUCGUCGCUCUGCGGCCAGCAGGUGGCAGCACCGCCUCACCACUGUCCUGGGGACUUGGUUGCUGGCUGACUCACCCUCUGGGGAAAAUUCCGUUGUGGAGACUGAGGUGAAGCGGAGACAAAGUUCAAGCCCUCCCCUCCUCUCCCCCCUCCCCUCCCAGGCAGCAGCCUCAGCACCUGGCUCACUGACUGCUUUUCCUGGAAUUUCUCUUCCUUGCAGCCUGAGAGCAAGCAUGUCAGACUCGCAGCCCACCGGCUGCAUGCGGCCCACAACAAAUAUUUUUGGGGCCCAGCCACUGUAACGGUUGUAAGAAACGGUUUAAUGAAAAUCUAGUAACUUAAUUUUUCCAAUAUCCUGUUAUACGUAAUCUAUAUCUCGUAUAUAAAAGCCUAAGCGACCGGUCGCUGUGAUGCACGCUGACCACCAGGGGGCAGACACUCAAUGCAGGAGCUGCCCCCCGUGGUCAGUGCGCUCCCAAAGCAGGAGCACCGCUCAGCUGACGGAGGGGCGCCAGGGUGAGUGGGAGCCGCAGCAGCGCUGGCCGGGCUGAUUUCAGCCCAGUCCCCGGAGGCUGUGCCGGGGGACCCCACCGGUGCACGAGCUACAACGUUCGCUAAUGACGGGUGGCUGUAAUCGUGCUGCAUUCAUCUCCCUACGCACCUUACGCGCAGGGCGCACCAUUUUCCACUAACACCAGCAGCGAAUAUCUUAGCAGCGAUGGCCUUCGUCAUUU